Molecule: long non-coding RNA, 1029 nt
Organism: Planococcus citri (citrus mealybug)
Lineage: Eukaryota; Metazoa; Arthropoda; Insecta; Hemiptera; Pseudococcidae
Exons: 3
Source: RefSeq, a predicted model, not a curated record
CACAAUUUCACAAAUCAUAAUGCAAUGCGCUUGUUUGUACCGCAACAAUGUGUUCUCAGUUGCUAGAUGUACGAUAUACUAAGUAAAUUAUAAAUCACGAAUGAAAGAUGAAAUUUUGAAUCCAGCUCCGAUCGGCGAUCGCUACUAUUUUGUGCAAUAUUAAAUUUUGGCUUCAUAAUUUUUGAACAGAAUUUAUACGCGAGGUGAUGUUUGCUUGUGAAGGAGCAACAAAGUUAUAAUUACACCUAGUGUUGUAGCUGACAAGUGUUUAUAUUUUUUUCACGUUCAUUCGUGGACCUGGCUGAAUCAUGCAUUCAAUUCCAUUGUUAAUCUUGAUGAAAACACGGAAAGAGGAGUUAUCGGAAAGUACACGCAGGUCUGUCUUGUGUGUCUAGAUAAGGAAUGAAUAAAGAACGGAAUAAGAAUACAACUACAUUGUCACAAUAGAUGAAUUACGUCAUUGGUUUCGAUCGCAGUGGUUGCUAUCUCGAAGUAACUUAUAAUAAGCAGCAGAUAUGCGAUUCACAUGAGAUUACUUACCCUACCGAUACAAAACUAUUAGGUAGUUAGAAUGAGUCUACAUACGUAAUUACAUGAAUCAAAUCAGCAGCAUCCGAUUUAACACAAACAGAAGGAAGAAUUAGUCUCAACUCUCAAGCAAAAGAAUCCAGAGUUCUGAUACUUUCUCGAUGCACAUGUUAUAAAAUCUCAAUACUUGAUUCGAGUUACUUUAUCCUGUAGAAUGAAGACAUGCACAGUGUGAUGUAAGAAAUGGCACAGACGAUAGGGUAAAUCGAAUUCGAAUGUAAUACAAUGAGAAAACAACACCUGAUCUCAAAUUUCUUGGAGCUGUAUCGUGGAAACAAGAGGGGUUGGAUCAAUUUCUGAACUUUUACUUCUCAACAAGGAAGAAUCCACGUAUUUAGAAUAUAGAAUGAAUGAAUACGAAAACACUUACCAUGAAAAUAUAGCAAAAAGAAAUCCACUUGAUCACUAAUUUAACAAAUUAUGCAGAUAAUGAGAACAAAA